Molecule: ribosomal RNA, 374 nt
Filed under: uncultured prokaryote
Description: bacterial SSU rRNA
Rfam family: Bacterial small subunit ribosomal RNA
Source: RNAcentral
UACGUAGGGGGCAAGCGUUGUCCGGAAUCAUUGGGCGUAAAGCGCGUGUAGGCGGCUUGGUAAGUCUGGCGUGAAAUCUUGGGGCUCAACCCCAAGCCUGCGUUGGAUACUGCCUCGCUCGAGUCCGGGAGAGGAAAGCGGAAUUCCCAGUGUAGCGGUGAAAUGCGCAGAUAUUGGGAAGAACACCGGUGGCGAAGGCGGCUUUCUGGAACGGUACUGACGCUGAGACGCGAAAGCGUGGGGAGCAAACAGGAUUAGAUACCCUGGUAGUCCACGCCGUAAACGAUGGGCACUAGUUGUGGGCGGUGUCGACUCCGCCCGUGACGAAGCUAACGCAUUAAGUGCCCCGCCUGGGGAGUACGGCCGCAAGGCUA